RNA transcript from Syngnathus acus (greater pipefish), 2626 nucleotides. It is a transcript of the gene named gamma-aminobutyric acid type A receptor subunit alpha6b, with no coding region annotated. The transcript is spliced from 11 exons. NCBI's taxonomy places the organism in Eukaryota, Metazoa, Chordata, Actinopteri, Syngnathiformes, Syngnathidae. The record is from RefSeq and is a predicted model, not a curated record.
AUUUCGCUCUCAGCCGAGCGGUUGAGGCUGUGAGGCGUGCGCACUGGAGAGCAAGUCAAGUCGUGCUGGACCGGACUGACGCGCCAAAUCCUCGCAACUCAAACAAGAGCUGCUGACGGUUUUGGAGAAUAAAAUCAUGUCCAUGCGUGAUGAUGGCAUGUGCUCGUCUGCAUAGCUGACCUCGGAUCUCUAAAGUUGUAUUUUGAAAGACUACAAGGCAUGGCUUUUCCUUUGACGUGCUUCUUUCUGUCUUGUUACAGCUUAUGCGGCGCUUGGGGAGCGCAGCACACUGAGAGCAGCAUCUAUUUGGAUAACAUCACGCGCAUAUUGGAUAGACUACUGGACGGCUAUGACAACAGGCUGCGACCUGGAUUUGGAGGUCCAGUGACAGAAGUCAAAACGGACAUCUUUGUCACCAGCUUUGGACCGGUUUCAGAUGUGGAGAUGGAAUACACCAUGGAUGUGUUCUUCCGGCAAACGUGGAUCGACGAGCGCUUGAAAUUCGAGGGCCCCAUCGAGAUACUAAGACUCAAUAACCUCAUGGUCAGCAAGAUCUGGACGCCAGACACGUUUUUCCGUAACGGCAAGAGGUCCAUCUCUCACAACAUGACCACCCCCAACAAGCUGUUCCGCAUCAUGCAGAACGGAACCAUCCUCUACACCAUGAGAUUAACUAUAAAUGCAGAGUGCCCCAUGCGCUUGAUGAACUUCCCAAUGGACGGACACGCAUGCCCACUCAAGUUUGGGAGCUAUGCUUACCCUGUCAGUGAGAUCAUGUACACGUGGAAGAAAGGUCCUCUGUCUUCCGUUGAGGUGCCGCAGGAGUCAUCCAGUCUCUUGCAGUAUGACCUCAUCGGUCAGAGAGUGUCAAGUGAGAGGCUCAAGUCCAAUACAGGGGAAUACGUCAUCAUGACCGUCCACUUCCACCUGCAGAGAAAAAUGGGCUUUUUCUUGAUCCAGACGUACAUUCCCUGCAUCAUGACCGUCAUCCUGGCUCAAGUCUCCUUCUGGAUUAACAAGGAGUCAGUUCCAGCUCGGACUGUGUUUGGUAUCACCACCGUGCUGACCAUGACCACGCUCAGCAUCAGCGCUCGCCACUCCCUCCCCAAAGUCUCCUACGCCACAGCCAUGGAUUGGUUCAUCGCCGUUUGCUUCGCCUUCGUCUUCUCCGCCCUCAUCGAGUUUGCGGCCGUCAAUUACUUCUCCACGCUGCAAGCUAAUCGGGAGCUACGCAAGGCGGCGGCCAUGAAGGCGGCGGCUCAAGAGGCCGCAGCUGCGGCUGCCACCCCGGCUGCCAGCACGGGAAAUGAUGGAGAGGUCUCCUCAGCGGACGCCAGCAACGUGUUGAAGAAGAGGAUGAAUUCGGCGCCCCUUUUCGAACGGCCGGCCAAAACCUUCCCCAACCCGCCCGUCAGCGCUCAGGCCUUCCUGCAGCAAGGCUCCGCCGUGCCGGCUAACAACGUCCUGACCGGCACGAGUAUCAUCGACAAAUACUCUCGCAUUCUCUUCCCGCUUUCCUUCGGCGCCUUCAACUUGGUCUACUGGAUCGUGUACCUCACCAAGGACACCAUGGAGAUGACCAGGGACACCGUCUGAAUGCGGGGAAGGGCAACAUCACACAGAUGCAACUCCAUAGACACACAUACAAGAGUGUGACCUCACCAUUCAUUGUGUGUGUGUGUGUGAGUGAUGGCAUGGCGAGAAAGUCUCUUAUAAUGCAUUGUACGUCCCUUUUUAAGUUUACUUUCAAACCACAACAAAAACAAAGUGUCUUUAUAGUCAAUGCCAAUUUAAGCCUGAGAUGGGACUAUUGAUGAUGUUGAAUGAUAGCAAGGCGGAGGAGCAGCAGGCUCUGCUUAACUUUUGUCAUGCAUGUCCACACUCGGUUCAUGAAAUUCUGCACACGUUCAUCAUCGCAUAUUCAUUUUCUCUUGUCCUUUAUUUAUUUAGUCAUUUAAUUUUUCGAUGGAAUGAGUGUACUCCACGUAAUGGGCUGACUUAUCCUCUCCAAUUAUCACUUCAAACUCAAUCACAUCAUUUCCCCCGGUGGCUGGCAGCAAAGAGGACAGGAGGGAAGAUCUUUAAAACAAAACAUUUUCAAGUGGCGUGCUUCCACGGCACAAAUGUUGAACAUUUGGGCUUUUCAUUUGCAAAAUGGAAAAGGCAGAACCUGGAUUUAACUCAUUAAACAGGCAUGCAUUGGGCAAAUACUGCAGGGCAGGGUGUUUAACACCAACUAAUGCAAAUGAGCGCUGAUUUAUAUAUGUAUAAAAAAAAUAUAACAAUCAACACACACCAUUACACACAUAUGCACACACACGAAUAUAGUCGCAAGAUUGUUAUAUAUACACAGUUAUGGUUAAAAAAAAAAUAAAAAAAAAUAGUAUUACCUGAGUAGAGUGAAUGAAUAGGUUUUCCUAUCUGUAUAUUGAUUUCUACCUGACGAUGCAUGCAUGUAAGUCCAAUUGGGAAAGUGUGGGCAUGUGCGUUGUCUAACCCCAACCCUAACUGUAACCCUGCUAAUAAAUGGUGAAACAAAACCAAGCCACGGUAAAUGCAUGCAGUCAUUUUGGGGGGGCUGGAAGUCUGAUUAUAAAGAGUUCUAUAAAAUACCUUAAAAGAAAAA